This 63-nucleotide transfer RNA is filed under the name Heterocephalus glaber (naked mole-rat). It matches the Rfam family "tRNA". Rfam says of the family: Transfer RNA (tRNA) molecules are approximately 80 nucleotides in length. Their secondary structure includes four short double-helical elements and three loops (D, anti-codon, and T loops). Lineage: Eukaryota; Metazoa; Chordata; Mammalia; Rodentia; Bathyergidae. The record is from Rfam by way of RNAcentral.
GAGGAUGUAGCUCAAUGGUGGAGUGCAGGCUUUUCAUGCAUGAAGCCUUGCGUUCCAUCCUCA